AUUGAACGCUGGCGGCAUGCCUUACACAUGCAAGUCGAACGGUAACGGGUCCUUCGGGAUGCCGACGAGUGGCGAACGGGUGAGUAAUAUAUCGGAACGUGCCCAGUAGUGGGGGAUAACUGCUCGAAAGAGCAGCUAAUACCGCAUACGACCUGAGGGUGAAAGGGGGGGAGUCGCAAGACCUCUCGCUAUUGGAGCGGCCGAUAUCAGAUUAGCUAGUUGGUGGGGUAAAGGCCUACCAAGGCUACGAUCUGUAGUUGGUCUGAGAGGACGACCAGCCACACUGGGACUGAGACACGGCCCAGACUCCUACGGGAGGCAGCAGUGGGGAAUUUUGGACAAUGGGCGCAAGCCUGAUCCAGCAAUGCCGCGUGCAGGAAGAAGGCCUCGGUUGUAACU
This 399-nucleotide ribosomal RNA is filed under the name uncultured bacterium. RNAcentral describes it as "bacterial SSU rRNA". It matches the Rfam family "Bacterial small subunit ribosomal RNA", at positions 30 to 431 of the family's 1533-position model. The record is from RNAcentral.